GUCUCUCCGGAGACAUCCGAUAAAAUUAGAACGAUACAGAGAAGAUUAGCAUGACCUCUGCGCAAGGAGUCCAAAUUUUAGAUGCCUUACUAAAAAAU
This 98-nucleotide small nuclear RNA is filed under the name Sorghum bicolor (sorghum). Lineage: Eukaryota; Viridiplantae; Streptophyta; Magnoliopsida; Poales; Poaceae. The record is from RNAcentral.